Non-coding RNA from Misgurnus anguillicaudatus (oriental weatherfish), 783 nucleotides. The record is from RefSeq and is a predicted model, not a curated record. NCBI's taxonomy places the organism in Eukaryota, Metazoa, Chordata, Actinopteri, Cypriniformes, Cobitidae.
UACCACACUGUAAAAUGUAAUAGCUGAGCUUACUAAAAAGAUUAAGUAAACUUAACUUAUUUAAUUAAGUUUGUUAACCUUACUUAGUUUAACUAAGUAAUCCCAACUUUUUUCUAUGCAAACUCAAGUCAACUUGAUUAAACUUAAAAGAUUAAUUUAGCUCAACUUAAAAUUUCAAGUAUUUUCAAAAAGGAUGACUGCACAGUAGGUGGCAGUAAUGCUCCCAAGGAGUAAGUGGUGGCUUAACUGAGUGGUUAACUGAAGAAGACGACAACAGCACAUGGUCGGAUGAGAGCAUGAGGAGCAGGAGCUUGUUUCUUUGAAGAGAGCGCAUACCCUUCAUGGAAAGUCAGUAACGUUACUGUGGAGUACAACCAAGUCGCAAGCAAAAACCUCAAGCAAGAAUUGUUCUCAUCCCUUGCUAAACAUUGUUUUUGAAGAUUUUGAAUGAAAGAAAAGUUUAAAAGCUCUCUUGAGUAUCUUAUAAACAUCACUGAUGUCAAGUGCUCGGUGGACGGUAGUUCUCCGUGGUCUUGCUAUCCUUCUUGCGGAAGACACUACAGACUUCCUGAAAACAAACAUGGACUGUGAUGGUGACCCACCUCAACUAUCAAUAGGAAUUCCCAGUCUGGUGCCGGAGGACAGACACAUUUCUCCACAUGGUUUACAGCAAUUAUUUGGUAGGGUGUCACAGCCAUGGAUGGACUUGAGAAAGUAUCACAUGCCAUGUGUUUAGUUUUUGGACUGAUCGUUGUUUUAAAUAUGGAGUACCUCUUCACAGUU